GGCUGAGCGGCGGGAGGCAGUCCCCGGCAGAGGCGACCCCAGGGAGCCAGGCCGCAUACGGACGGGCCUCUCCGUGGAGGAGAGCUCGCUUCGUAUUUGUACCGGUUCCGAGUUUUCCAGGCACGAUAGUCUCUCUUUUAAACACAUGGUCUACCUCAUUGUAGAAGGAGUGCCUCGAUGGGUUUGAACACGCUUCUGUCAUCUCAGGGAACUUGGCGUCCUGCGAAGGAGCUUGCCUUACUGUUGGGAGUUGCUGGAAGCCAUCAAACGUGACUUUGGUUCCUUUGACAAGUUUAAGGAGAAGCUGACGGCUGCAUCUGUUGGUGUCCAAGGCUCAGGUUGGGGUUGGCUUGGUUUCAAUAAGGAACGGGGACACUUACAAAUUGCUGCUUGUCCGAAUCAGGAUCCACUGCAAGGAACGACAGGCCUUAUUCCACUGCUGGGGAUUGAUGUG
RNAcentral lists this small RNA (454 nucleotides) under Pongo abelii (Sumatran orangutan). Its description in RNAcentral is "processed transcript". The record is from RNAcentral. Lineage: Eukaryota; Metazoa; Chordata; Mammalia; Primates; Hominidae.